RNAcentral lists this ribosomal RNA (253 nucleotides) under uncultured bacterium. RNAcentral describes it as "partial 16S ribosomal RNA". It matches the Rfam family "Bacterial small subunit ribosomal RNA", at positions 524 to 776 of the family's 1533-position model. The record is from RNAcentral.
UACGUAGGGCGCGAGCGUUGUCCGGAAUUAUUAGGCGUAAAGAGCUCGUAGGCGGCUUGUUGCGUCUGCUGUGAAAUCCCGGGGCUUAACCCCGGGCGUGCAGUGGAUACGGGCAGGCUGGAGGCAGGCAGGGGAGAAUGGAAUUCCCGGUGUAGCGGUGAAAUGCGCAGAUAUCGGGAGGAACACCGGUGGCGAAGGCGGUUCUCUGGGCCUGUACUGACGCUGAGGAGCGAAAGCGUGGGGAGCGAACAGG